Molecule: long non-coding RNA, 2289 nt
Filed under: Callithrix jacchus (white-tufted-ear marmoset)
Lineage: Eukaryota; Metazoa; Chordata; Mammalia; Primates; Cebidae
Description: lncRNA (ENSCJAG00000076073.1)
Source: RNAcentral
GUUUCACCAUGUUGGCCAGGCUGGUCUUGAACUCUUGAGGUCAAGUGAUCUGCUCUUCUGGGCCUCCUAAAGUGCUGGGAUUCCAGGCAUGAGCCACCAUGCCUGCUCCACAGAUUCUUUUUUCAGUAGAGAUUGUUAGAAUCCCUUGGUCCAGUCUCCUAUAUAAAUUUUUCUAACAAUUCAUUGGCAAUGAUAUAUGAUCAGAUAAAUCAGUAUUGAAACAAUGCUUCUGGAAAGUUUUAGGGCAAUUUUUGAAGAUUUUGGGGACAAAGUUUUAAUUUUUUGCACUGACUUAGGUCAGAUGAUGUGACUAAGAUCUAUCAGAUGAAGGAGAUUUUGUCCCAUGGAUCUGAAAAGCAGGCUCAUCUACUUCUAGGGCGACUUAACCUAGGGACCAGUAGAACAUUCUUGUCAGAAUAUCACAUUCUUACCCUGAGAAUAUUUUACAUUUUUGUGCUAUGACCGAACACUGAUUUGGUCUUGUAUGAAGUGUGAUUUGCUUAAUGUGACCUGCUCUUCUGAAUUUGUUUACAGGAGAUCAAAAAGAUCACAAUGAAGAACAGAAAUGCAGAGAGAGCAAAAAUAAACUUCUUAUGAGUCAAGUAGCCUACUACCUGGGCUGCCGGCUGAAGAUGGAAGUCCCUGGCUAUCUGUGUUCUGCCCCAAAUGUCAGCAUGGUGGCAUCUGAAAGGCCUCCUUCAAGAAAAAACACAGAGGUGAACAUUGUAGAAGACAUUGAGAUGUCCUGCUUUGAACAGGAAGAAAACAAACCGACUUUCAGAGCCAGCAAAAAUAGGCUUCUUAUGAGUCAGGUGGCCUACUUUCUGAACUAUUGGCUGAAGACAUACAGUAAGUUCUAUAGGUUCACCCCCAUGAAAUUGAUGAAUAAUGUCCUGUCUUGUUUUGAGAAACUAAGCUCUUUCUUUAUCAACAUUAAUUUCAUCCUUCCCAUAGUUUUAGAAAGUAGAAAUGGUUAUUUUAAUAUUUUGUUAAAUAUAGAAGACAGAGGCCAAAGUAUCUAGCAACUUUUCCACGUCUACAUUAACAUGGGUGUGGGACUGGGGUUACAAUCCCUGCUAUUGAUCUCUGACACAGGCACAGAACCACCUGUUUUUUUCAGCAAGUGGCUAAAUCAUGUUUACAGGAAUCCUUUCUGUACCAUAUAAGAUCCUGCACGCAAGUAGCAUCUAGUCUCUUGGUCUCCAUAUCUGAGGCUACUGAACUUCCAUUUGGUUCCAGUUUCUGCUUAGGCCCAGUAGGCAAAGCUGUGUUCUGGGAACACUGGGGGAAACACAGUGAUAGCACACAGUACCUCCUGUGAGGAGCUUGAGGAUUACACCUGCUUCUAAUAGAACCUGUGGUAUCUUUAAGUGGAACGCACCAUCAAGAGCAGGGAGUACCCUGCUACUGGUGCCUCAGCCUUUUUAUUAGCUGGGAUCCCUGGUGGGCACCAAAGCACUUGGCUUAUUUUUGUAUUUUUAGUAGAGGCGGGUUUUCACCAUGUUUGCCAGGCUGGUCUUGAACUCUUGAGGUCAAGUGAUCUGCCCUUCUGCAUUUUCUAAAACGCUGGAAUUUCAGGCAUGAGACACUGGGCUGGCUCCACAGAUUCUUUUUUAAGUAAAGGUUGUUAGAAUUCAUGGCUUAGUCCAGUCUCCUAUAUAAAUUUGUCUUAAGUAUUCAUUGACCAUGAUAUAUGCUGAGAUAAAUCGGUAUUGCUGCAAUGCUUCUGGAAAGCAGUUAUUGCAAUUUUUGAAGAUUUUGGGGAAAAAAAGUUUUAAUUAUUUUCACUGACUUAGGUCAGAGGAUAUGUGAUAAAGAUUAACCGGAUGAGGGAGAUUAUGUCCCAUGGAUCUGAAAAGCAGGCUCAUCUAUUUCUGAGGCCACUUAAUCUAGGGACCAGUAGAACAUUCCUGUCAGAAUAUCACAUUCUUAAACUGAGAAUAUUUUACGUCCUCGUGCUAUGACUGACACUUAUUUAGUCUUGUGUGAAGUGUGAUUUGCUUAAUGUGUCCUGCUCUUCUGAAUUUGUUUACAGAAGAUCAAAAAGAUCACGAUGAAGAACAGAAAUGCAGAGACAGCAAAAAUAAACUUCUUAUGAGUCAAGUGGCCUACUACCUGGGCUGCCGGCUGAAGACGGAAGGUAAGUUCUCUAGGUUCACUGUCACGAAAGUGCUGAACAGUGUCCUGUCUUCUUUCUGAGAAAUGAUGCACUCUCUUCUUCAAAGUUAAUUUCAUCUGUCCCAUACUUCUAGGAAAAUAGCAAUGGGUAUUUUAACAUUUUGUUAAAGA